RNAcentral lists this ribosomal RNA (433 nucleotides) under uncultured bacterium. RNAcentral's name for it is "partial 16S ribosomal RNA". It matches the Rfam family "Bacterial small subunit ribosomal RNA", at positions 29 to 507 of the family's 1533-position model. The record is from RNAcentral.
AACGAACGCUGGCGGCAUGCCUAACACAUGCAAGUCGAACGAGACCUUUGGGUCUAGUGGCGCACGGGUUCGUAACGCGUUGGAACCUUCCCUUAGGUUCGGAAUAACUCCCCGAAAGGGGUGCUAAUACCGGCUAAUGUCUUCGGACCAAAGAUUUAUCGCCUUUGGAUGGGCCCGCGUUGGAUUAGCUAGUUGGUAGGGUAAAAGCCUACCAAGGCGACGAUCCAUAGCUGGUCUGAGAGGAUGAUCAGCCACACUGGGACUGAGACACGGCCCAGACUCCUACGGGAGGCAGCAGUGGGGAAUACUGGACAAUGGGCGAAAGCCUGAUCCAGCAAUGCCGCGUGAGUGAUGAAGGCAUUAGGGUUGUAAAGCUCUUUUACCCGGGAUGAUAAUGACAGUACCGGGAGAAUAAGCUCCGGCUAACUCCGUG